The sequence is a non-coding RNA, 311 nucleotides long. It matches the Rfam family "Archaeal signal recognition particle RNA". The record is from Rfam.
CAGCGAGUUAGGCCGGGGUGCUAGCGGUACCCUCCACGAAAACCCGCUAUACGUCGGGCCGAAGCUCCGGAGAGGCGUACGGAACUGCUCGUCGGCUCGGUCUGCAGCGUGGACACCCCGUCCCUCAGGGUCGCCGGUGGGGGAGCCCCGAUCGGAGGGUUGGGGUAAACCCCCUUCGCCUGCCGAACCCGGUCAGGAACGGAAGUUCGCAGCCGUAGAUAGGACGGUUGGCGCUUGAGGGGUCGCGGGGUCGAGCUCGCGGCCGGGUGUCGGACGAGGAGGGAAGGCGUCCACCCGGGGCGCGCUCGCUG